This is an RNA transcript of Oncorhynchus tshawytscha (Chinook salmon), 1338 nucleotides long. It is a transcript of the gene named neurofibromin-like, with no coding region annotated. Lineage: Eukaryota; Metazoa; Chordata; Actinopteri; Salmoniformes; Salmonidae. The record is from RefSeq and is a predicted model, not a curated record.
CUUCCUGUUAAAACGGGACAUCAGAACAACCACACCAAAGUCAGCACAGAGCACAACAAGGAAUGUCUCAUCAACAUCUCUAAGUACAAGUUCCCCCACCUCAUCAGUGGCCUCACGAACAUACUAAAAAAUGUGAACAACAUGCGGAUAUUCGGGGAAGCUGCUGAGAAGAACCUCUACCUCUCCCAGCUGAUUAUCCUGGACACACUGGAGAAGUGCCUGGCAUCGCAAUCAAAGGACUGCCUGCGUCUGGACGAGACCAUGCUGGUGAAGCAGCUGCUGCCAGAGAUCUGUCACUUCAUCCACACGUACCGCGAGGGCCACCAGCACGCUGCUGAGCUCCGUGCCUCCGCCUCAGGGGUCCUCUUCUCCCUCAGCUGCAACAACUUCAACGCUGUUUUCAGCCGCAUCUCCACCAGGUUGCAGGAGCUGACAGUCUGCUCAGAAGACACUGUGGAUGUGCACGAUAUAGAGCUCAUGCAGUACAUCAACGUGGACUGCUCCAAACUUAAAAGACUGCUCCAAGAAACGGUAUUAAAAUUCAAAGCCCUGAAGAAACCUGCCCAACUUGCCGUCAUUAACAGUUUGGAAAAGGCCUUUUGGAACUGGGUAGAGAACUACCCUGAUGAGUUUACCAUGCUCUACCAGAGACCACAGACGGACAUGGCAGAUGCUGCGGAGAGGCUGUUUGACCUGGUGGACAGCUUUGCUGAGAGUGCCAAGAGGAAGGCAGCGGUGUGGCCUCUACAGAUCAUCCUCCUCAUCCUCCUGUCCCGAGAUCACACACAUCAUCUCUCGAGAGGUGGUGGAGGAGAGCAAGGCCAACAAGAAGCUGUUCCUGGAGAGCUUGAGGAAGGCUCUAGCAGGCCAGGGGGGCAGCAAGCAACUAACAGAGAGUGCAGCCAUCGCCUGUGUCAAACUGUGCAAGGCCUCCACCUACAUCAACCGGGAGGACCACUCGGGCAUCUUCCUCCUCGUGCAGUCCAUCGUGGUGGACCUCAAGGCCCUGCUCUUCAACCCCACCAAGCCCUUCUCUCGCGGGGCAGGCAGCCAGAACGCAGAUGUGGACCUCAUGAUCGACUGCUUCGUCGCCUGUUUCCGUAUCAACCCUCACAACAAUCAGCACUUUAAGGUCUGUUUGGCCUCCGCCUCCCCCUCUACCUUUCACUUUGUCCUGGUCAACUCCCUGCACAGAAUCAUCACCAAUUCUGAUCUGGACUGGUGACCUAAGAUUGAUGCAGUGUACUGCUACUCUGGAGAGCUGCGACUAAUGUUCUCAGACACUCUGAGCCGAGUGAUGCAAGGCCUUCACACACAUGCCCCACUACGCAUGACGCC